AUAGCAUGUUUUUAUUCAACGUAUUUGGAUCGUCUAAUCAAAGAACAAACACCAAGUCAAGAUAACAAAAAUCCAGUAACUAAUUACUGUGAAUCAGUUAUUCCAGGAACUGCAAACAAUUUUUUAGAGAACAUUUUUACUGCUGUCAAUCAAUAUGAAUCAGAUUCUGACGAUGAGUAAACGUCCACUUCUCAACACUCCGGGAUCUUCUUACUGUAGUCAGAAUAUUCCAGUACAAACGACGAUUUUUUUUAAUAACCUUAUAAUAUUAUAUAUAUAUAUCUAACCGUUAAAUAGAGUAACAACGUUUCUAUUUUGUCUAAUUAUUUUAUGUAAUAUUAAAUUGUCUAAUACAAUAAUAUUUUAUGAACUUGAUUCGUAUUUUGUUAACUUCUAACAUAUGUAUAGGAAUUGUAUCAUUAUUAC
Long non-coding RNA from Metopolophium dirhodum (rose-grain aphid), 426 nucleotides. RefSeq lists it as uncharacterized. Lineage: Eukaryota; Metazoa; Arthropoda; Insecta; Hemiptera; Aphididae. The record is from RefSeq and is a predicted model, not a curated record. The transcript has 4 exons.